GGAGUAGUGGCUGAGUGGUUUAAAGCGUUAGUUUCGAAAACUGAUUUGAAUCUUAUUCAACAAGGGUUCAAAUCCCUUCUUCUCCA
RNAcentral lists this transfer RNA (86 nucleotides) under Lepidodinium chlorophorum. Its description in RNAcentral is "tRNA-Ser". It matches the Rfam family "tRNA". Rfam says of the family: Transfer RNA (tRNA) molecules are approximately 80 nucleotides in length. The record is from RNAcentral. Lineage: Eukaryota; Dinophyceae; Gymnodiniales; Gymnodiniaceae.